GAUGAACGCUGGCGGCGUGCCUAAUACAUGCAAGUCGAGCGAACGGACGAGAAGCUUGCUUCUCUGAUGUUAGCGGCGGACGGGUGAGUAACACGUGGAUAAACUACCUAUACGACUGGGAUAACCUCGGGAAACCGGAGCUAAUCCCGGAUAAUAUUUUGAACCGCAUGGUUCAAAAGUGAAAGACGGCCUUGCUGUCACUCAUAGAUGGAUCCGCGCUGCAUUAGCUAGUUGGUAACGUAACGGCUUACCAAGGCGACGAUGCGUAGCCGACCCGGCAGCCUGAACGGCCACGCUAGAACCAAGACCCCGUCCCCUCUCCUACGGGAGGCCGCCGUAGGGAACCUUCCGAACUGCGCGCAAGCUUGACCGUGCGCCGCCGCGUCAGUGAUCAACGUUCACGGAUCGUAAAGCUCUGUUAUUAGGGAAAGUCAUAUGGGUAAGUCACUGUGCACAUCUUCACGGUACCUAGUCAGAAAUCCGCGGCUUACUACUUG
This 497-nucleotide ribosomal RNA is filed under the name uncultured bacterium. RNAcentral's name for it is "partial 16S ribosomal RNA". It matches the Rfam family "Bacterial small subunit ribosomal RNA", at positions 28 to 507 of the family's 1533-position model. The record is from RNAcentral.